CCUGGUGGCCAUAGAGCGUUGGAACCACCUGAUCCCAUUCCGAACUCAGAAGUGAAACAGCGCAUCGCCGAUGAUAGUGUGGGGUUUCCCCAUGCGAAAGUAGGUCACCGCCAGGC
RNAcentral lists this ribosomal RNA (116 nucleotides) under Thiolapillus brandeum. The record is from RNAcentral. Lineage: Bacteria; Pseudomonadati; Pseudomonadota; Gammaproteobacteria; Chromatiales; Sedimenticolaceae.